Molecule: ribosomal RNA, 253 nt
Filed under: uncultured bacterium
Lineage: Bacteria
Description: partial 16S ribosomal RNA
Rfam family: Bacterial small subunit ribosomal RNA
Source: RNAcentral
UACGUAGGGUCCGAGCGUUGUCCGGAAUUAUUGGGCGUAAAGGGCUCGUAGGCGGUCUGUUGCGUCGGGAGUGAAAACUUACAGCUUAACUGUGAGCGUGCUUUCGAUACGGGCAGACUUGAGGCAUUCAGGGGAGAACGGAAUUCCUGGUGUAGCGGUGAAAUGCGUAGAUAUCUGGAGGAACACCGGUGGCGAAGGCGGCAUUCUGGACCAUUACUGACGCUGAGGAGCGAAAGCCAGGGGAGCAAACGGG